CUCUCGAAGGCCCCGGAUGUGGCGCAGGCCCAGAGGGGGAGUCUUGGCAUCUCCUCCAACUCACUCCCCAACUUUGGACGCGCUUAGGGCCAUAGCACCUGACACCCAGAUGUCGGUCCCGAGAACUACACUCCUGGGGAUUCUCUGGCCCUAGCGGUUUGAAGUUUUGCCUAUGGAGAAGAGCAAGUGGUGCGGAAUGGCGUUGAUUUAUUUGUGAUGAAAACGAAGGCCCAAGAGACAAGGUCCUGCCAUACAUCAUUUUGAAGAAAAGGGAUGAUGGUUUUAGGAAGCCGAAGAAUAGUACCAGGGAGCAGAAAAAUUUAAUCCUAAAUGUCUCCAGCUGCCAUGUUGUAACUUUCCUGUGGAGAGACCCAUCUGACAAGGAACUGAUGUGUCUGGCCAACUGCAUUGUGGAGCUGGGUCCUGUUCAUAGCCAUGUAAGUGAGCUGAGAAGCUGAUCCUACCCCAGUCAAGCCUUAAGAUGCCUGCAGCUCUGCUCAUACCUUGAAUAUAGCUUUGUGAGAGACCCUGAGCCAGAGGAACCCAAAGAAGCUACAUGUGGAUUCCUGACCCACAGACAAGAUUUCACUAGAAGAAAGGAGUUUCUUGCCCUUCAGAAUUUCAUAAAUUCUCCUAAUGAUUUGCCAAUUCAGUAUUUGGAAAAAAAAAAGUCACAGUAUAAACAUGCACAUCCUUUAAUUUUACCUGCUGAUUUAUUUAUUUAUUUGAGAGAGAGGAGAGCACACAAGCAAGCUGGAGAAGCGGCAGAGGGAGAGGGAGAGAGAGAAUCCUGAAGCAGACUUUGUGCUAAGCAGGGAGCCCACCGUGGGGCUGAUCCCAGGAUCCUGAGGUCAUGACCUGAGCCAAAACCAAGAAUUGGACGCUUAACUGACUGAGCCACCCAGGCGCCCCCAGAUGUCUACUUUUACAUUCAGUUUAUUUAGAGGUUCUCUGAAAAGAGCUCACAAAGAUAUACGGAUUUAAAUGGAAGAACUGUUUCUUAGAUGGGUUACUAAAUCACAAUACUUAUUUUUCAGUACCACUUGCUAUGUAAAGGUUUUGGUUAAUAUCUAAUGAAUACAUUUCCAAUUUGCCUGUUAUUCAUUUGUUUCUACACUCUAAUGAGAAGGUGUUGUAAAUGUUUAUAUUUUUAACAAAUGGCUUCAAAUGGCAUGGAAAUUUUAUUUGAAAAAUGUUUAACUGGGUUUAAAAAAUCCUAUGAGAUACGAGUUUUUAUAGGUUACAUGCAGUGUUUUUCAUCACAAAAAUUACAUAAGGAAAUAUUUUCAAACAUCAACAUAGCAUGCUAGGUGAGGGCAUAGACUCAAGCCAGUCUACUAAGUUGGAAUCCCAACUCCCCUACUCAUUGUUUAUGUAGCCGUGGGCAAGUUACUUAGUCUGUUGUGCCUCAGUUUUCUGUCCUGUGAAUUAGAAUGGUAAUAGAACCUACUCAUCAAGGCCAUUAUGAAAAUUAAAUAACUCAAUAAAGUACUUAAUAUAAUAUCUGACAUAUAGCAAGUAUACUUAAAUAUGUAAAGGAUUAAGGCGAGAAUUCUGAUGCCCUGCUGUUAGAAGAGUGUAAACAUUAAAAUUACUUUUAAUGUCAGUUGGGUAUUACCUACCAAAGUUGGACAUACACAUACCCUGUGACCUAGCAUACCGACAAAUAUAUUUAACAAGAGUGGUCCUCGAGGCUUUGUUUGUAAUAGGAAAAAAUACAAAUAACCCACAUGUUCAUCUACAAUGGGAUGGAUAAGUAAAUGGCUUUGUAUAUAUCGACUGGAUGCUAUUCAGCAAUACAAACGAACGAGAAGAAUAAACCACAGCUACAUUCACAUGAAUGAAUUUGACAAAUGAUGAACAUAAGAACAAAGAUAUAAAAAUGUAUAUAUAGUGUGAUGGCACUUUAAAAAGUUCAAAAAGAAGCAAAACAAAUAGAAUGCACAGAUAGUAAAAUUAUAUAGAAAAUAAAUAAUCAUCACAAAAGUCAGGCUCAUAAUUCUCUCUUAAAAAAAGAAGAGGACUGUAACUGAGGAGGGGCACCAGGGGUGUGCACGUGUGUGCGCGUGUGUGUGUGCGUGUGAGCACGUGUGCCUGCACCCUGCAUGAAUGCUGAUGGUACCUUGUUUUCUGAUUUGGGAGCUGUUUAGGAAUGUUUACUUUACAAUUAUUAACUUAUGAUAAGUUUUAUGCACUUUUCUGUGUAUAUGUGUUAUAUUUCACAAUGAAGAAAUUUUUAAAAACUCUACACAAGUCUUGUUUGCACAAAAUUAACUGCAUUGUUAACAUCUUAUAGUACUAUGUAUUCUGGCCCCAACUUCUUUGCUGGAAUAACUGUCUGUAAGAUGUACCAUGAAUGAGUUUCACGUGGUUGUGCUCACUGUAACCUUAGCUUGGAAUCCUCCCUUUUAUUUUUUCUUUAAUAAAAAGUUUUUGUUAAAACAACUAACCAGUCAG
Long non-coding RNA from Mirounga angustirostris (Northern elephant seal), 2457 nucleotides. RefSeq lists it as uncharacterized. NCBI's taxonomy places the organism in Eukaryota, Metazoa, Chordata, Mammalia, Carnivora, Phocidae. The record is from RefSeq and is a predicted model, not a curated record. The transcript is spliced from 4 exons.